ACUGGCGUGGCAGAAGGGUAACUGCGUAGCUUUCCAAUGACCUCCUUGACAAUAGCAUAGCUAUUGAUAACAUGGUCAUAGCUAAGGUUGCGGGUUCAAGUCCCGUCGUCAGUA
This is a transfer RNA of 114 nucleotides. It matches the Rfam family "tRNA". From Rfam's summary of the family: Transfer RNA (tRNA) molecules are approximately 80 nucleotides in length. The record is from Rfam.